Long non-coding RNA from Lytechinus pictus (painted urchin), 214 nucleotides. RefSeq lists it as uncharacterized. The transcript has 3 exons. The record is from RefSeq and is a predicted model, not a curated record. Lineage: Eukaryota; Metazoa; Echinodermata; Echinoidea; Temnopleuroida; Toxopneustidae.
CCGAAAAAGCAAAAUAAUGGCUCGCAACAAUCCUGUUUGUGGAAGAGAUUAUGACAAAGAAGUCUGGAACCUCAGAACCACCAUAACUGUGUCUGCUACAAUGUGUGUUCUUGCAACCAGCUGAUUGAUUCAUUUUAUCAACUCUUGAAUGGUUGAUUAUCAGAACUGAAUUCAGAGCUGCUCCUGUCUGUAGUAACAUCAUUAUAAGAGUGGA